Molecule: ribosomal RNA, 459 nt
Filed under: uncultured bacterium
Lineage: Bacteria
Description: SSU rRNA
Rfam family: Bacterial small subunit ribosomal RNA
Source: RNAcentral
AGAAUCAACGCUGGCGGCGUGCCUAACACAUGCAAGUCGAACGAGAAAGUGGAGCAAUCCAUGAGUAAAGUGGCGACCGGGUGAGUAACACGUGACUAACCUACCUUCGAGUGGGGGAUAACCUCGGGAAACCGAGGCUAAUACCGCAUAACAUCGUGAGAUCAAAGCAGUAAUGCGCUGGAAGAGGGGGUCGCGGCUGAUUAGCUAGUUGGCGGGGUAAUGGCCCACCAAGGCGAAGAUCGGUAGCCGGCCUGAGAGGGCGCACGGCCACACUGGAACUGAAACACGGUCCAGACUCCUACGGGAGGCAGCAGUGGGAAUUUUGCGCAAUGGGGGAAACCCUGACGCAGCAACGCCGCGUGGAGGAUGAAGUCCCUUGGGACGUAAACUCCUUUCGACCAAGACGAUAAUGACGGUACUGGUGGAAGAAGCACCGGCUAACUCUGUGCCAGCAGCCGC